Acinonyx jubatus (cheetah) is the source of this 7067-nucleotide long non-coding RNA. RefSeq lists it as uncharacterized. Lineage: Eukaryota; Metazoa; Chordata; Mammalia; Carnivora; Felidae. The record is from RefSeq and is a predicted model, not a curated record. The transcript is spliced from 2 exons.
UGUGUAUAUAUAUAUAUAUAUAUAUACACACAGACACAUUCAAUUGCUUACCAAUUCCCAUUUCUUUUUUUUUUUGUAUUAAAAUAUUGACUGAAUAUAUUAUUCAGAAAAUCUGUGAUAGUGAAAACUAGAAAGAGCAAUCUUGUUUUGUUAUUAUUACAUGAGAAAGAACAUUGGAUCAAAUUGUUUCAGAUUUUUCCAGUGGGAGUUUGGUAUCAUUAUCUGUGAAGUGUGAAGUUGAAGAGAUGCUCUCUAAAAUCUCCUUCAGCUCUAAAAUCUUAUUAAUCUCAAACUCAGAACAUGCCUCAUAUUUACCAUUCUAUUAUUGCUUGUAUUCAUGUUAUCUACAAUCUGUUACUGACAGCACAAUUAUUGAUCUGAAAUGCCUUCCUUACUUCAAAUAGGAAAAAUUGCUAGACAUUGACACUGACAUUCAUACCAAAUAUAAAUGGAAAUAAAUGUCUGUUACUUCCACUGCAUAAUAUGUGCAAUUUAUUUCCUUCAAUAUCACAUGCUACGGAGUUCAAAUCACAAAGUGCUUAAGAUUUGGAAUAAACAUUACAUACAUGUAAUAACUGUCAAGCUUAGAAGAAUGCUAGUGAUUUGGAUAUAUUGAAGUAUUACAUUUUUCUUCUUUAAUUAACAGAUAUAUAUCAAGAUCUGGAAAGCCAAGAUUAGUACUCCUCCCCUGCAAAAAGUUGUAAAUAUUUUGCUUACAUAUUUAAAAUAAAGCUGUUGUAAAAAUAAGACCUAUAAUUCUAAUGAACACUAUUGUUUUAGGAUCACACAGAUACUUGGAAUAGUGGGCUCUGGAUUAGACCACCUGGGUUUAUACCUAAAUUAAAUGAAGUUAAAAUUUUGGAGUUACUUAACUUUUCUAAGCUAUGGUUUUCUCAUCUGUAAAAUGGGGAGUAAUACCAAUGUCUGCCCUAGAGGGUUGUUGUGAUAAGUGAGAUAACUGUAAACAUUUAAUGAACGUGCCCACAUAAUAAGUACUCAUUAAAUGUUUGUUUAUUGUAAUAACUUUGAAUGUAAUUACCUUUAUAAACAUGGUAAUGGAAAUCCAUAAAUAUAACUGCUAUUAUUAUUUUAUUAUUAUUUUUAAGUAAGCGCUUUUUGUGAUGUGAGGCUUGACUCAUGACCCUGAGAUUAAGAGUUGCAUGCUCUACUGACUGAGCCAUUCUGCUACCCCACUAAUACAUCAUUUAGAUAACUGAUCUAGUCAUGGUUUAUCUUCAUGCUGUUUUUCCACUAUUUCGUAUUAUCUUCUUUUAGGAGCAGCAUUAAAGAUUAUUAUUAUACUGGGGUUGUCUUGAUCUAAAUUCUUAUUUUCUAUCUUAAAUUUUGGGCUGUUAGGGUAAGAAGAUGGUAUUUGUAGUGUAAUAACUAAUGACAAUUUGAGAUUUUUGAUAUAUACAUUUAAAGUAAAGUAUAGAUGGGAAACUGUUUCUGAUAUUCUUUAAGUCUUAUUAAGGUCUGUGGAGAAAACUGCCUCUACCUAUGUGGGUAAUUUAAUGGAGUUCUAUUCUAUAGUAAAGAAAGUAGAAAAGUUUUAAAUAUUAUACAAAUGAUGCAGUUAUACAGGGUGGUAAAGCAAUAGUAAAAUAAAACUACAUAGAUGAUUGUUGAUUUGUAGAAGAGAGAUUUUUAAUUGGUAGAUGAGGAAAAGAGUAAGCCCCAGGGAUAAGGAGCCAAGACUUAGGCCUGAUUGUGCUUGGAUUGAAGUAACAAUUAGUUGGGGUAUAAGGCAAAGGAAUAUUAUGUAUAAAAAGGGGGAAAUACUUAUGAAAUAUCAGAUGCCAAAAGAAAAUCUGUAGAAUUUACAGCAUUGUGCAGAUCGGUCUGUAAAGUAUUAUUAGGUGGAAAAAAACCCUGUCAACUAUACAUUAUGGUGAAACAUUCAUGCUUUUCUGAUUUUUAGUGCAAUUCAGAAGUGGGUCAUAUCUAAUAUAUGAGAAACUUGAAAUGGAGAUCCCCUACCUGCAUAGUAGGAACUGAUAAGCAAAAUAAUUAUGGAUCUAAUUUUAUUACUCUGUUGUUUUCCUGCCCAUGAUUAAUAUAUUAGUCUGACUGUAGUCUGACUUGUUAACAAACAAUACAGACCAGUUCAAUAUUGUCUUAGUCCUUUUGGGUUGCUCUAAUAAAGUACCAUAGACUGGGUGGCUUAUAAACAACAGAAAUUUAUUUUUCAUGUUUCUAGAGGCUGGCAAAUCUAAGAUCAAGGUACCAGCAGCUGAUCUGAUGUCCAGUGAGGGUCCACUUCCUGGUUGAUAGACAGCUAUCUUCUCUUUGUCUUCUCACAUGGCAAAAGUGGGAAGGGAAGUCUCUGGGUCUCUUUUUUAAGGGCACUAAUUCCAUCUUUAUGACCCCAUCACCUCCCAAAGGCCUCACCUUCAAACAUCAUCGCACUGAUUUUCACAUAAUGAAUUUUGGGAGGACACAAACAUUCAGCAUGUGGCAAGCAUGUGAUUUGCUUCACAUUAUGUGAGGCUAAAACCACUAAAUAUUUAUAGUGUCAUCCAUCCUUUGAGUAUGAGGAGUUAGUUGUAAAGUAGGUUUACAUUUUAAGUCAUUUAUAUAUUAAAAACACUUGCCAAGUACUGUAUGAUAGAAUUUACCAAACUUUUUCUGUAAAAGGCCAGAUAGUAAAUAUUUUGGGCUUUCUGGACUAUAUGAUUUCUGUCACAGCUAUUCAGGUCUGCCUUUGUAACAUGAAAGUAGUCAUAAACAAUAUGUAAAUGCAUGAGCACGACUGUAUUCCAAUAAAACUUUAUUUAUAAAAAUGGAUUGUGGGCCAGAAUUGGCACAAGAGCCAUAGUUUGCUAAACCAUGCUCCAAGACAUAGUCUGUGUUAGAAAAGUAUAAUUCCAAAUUACUUGUAUGUGAAUUGAACUUUUAUGUUAGUUAAAAUUUACAUUUAUAAACCAUCACAAAACUUAGUGGCUUAAAACUACAGUUUAAUGCCUCUCACAUUUCUACAAAUUAACUCAGUGGUUCUGCUGUAGGUGGCAUUAGUUGGGGUUCUGGUAUAGCUGCAGUCGUCUGGAGGCUUAAAUGGGACUGUUGUCCAGGGCCUUGGUUCUCCUACAUGUGGAUUUAUCCACAUGGCUGAUUCAUUAGCCUCAUGGUGUGAUGGCUGGGUUCCAAGAAGCAUUCCAAGAGCAAGCAUUAUGAGAGGGAGGAGGCAGAAGCUGCCAGCCCAAUUAAGGAAUAGGCCUGAAACUGGCACAGCUUCAUUUUCACCAUUUUUUAUUGGUCAUAGCACUAGCCCAGAGUCACCGUGGGAAGAGACUAGGAAUACUAGGAAGAGUGGUUAGUUGGGGGUCGUCAAAGUAACUGUCUAUCGCAGAAUUGUUCAAAUUGAACUAGCUUUAGUAAAGAGGAAAUUUGUUAUAAGAAUAAUGGGGUGUCUAAUCUCAUAAAACCUAAGUAUAGGAUGAAGCCUUAGGAAUAUUGGAUCUAGGGUUUGAAGGUCCUCAGGACUGUUUUUCAUUUUUGCUUUCUUCUGUAAGUUUUAUUUUCUUUCACCACAGAUUUGCCUUUUUCACAAUGGAAAAAACAGUGCCAUCAACAGUUUCUGUAUUAUUUAUAUCUUCCCAUUUCAGCCAUCCAGAGAAGGACUGACUUUAUUUUCACAGUUGUGUUUCUAAAAUUUUUGAGGAAGAACUUUGUCCUGGACCAGUCAUUUGUGAUCAAAGGAUAGAGGUUAUGCUGUACCAACCAUGUGGACAGGAGCAGGGAUUGAUUUGGCUGAUCUAGCUGGCUAAGUGAGUAUAUUUUUCCUUUGGAAAGGGUCUACUUACAUACAUGAAAGCAAGUAACUAUAAGGGAUACCUGGUUGGCUCAUUCAGUUAAGCGUCCGACUUCAGCUCAGGUCGUGAUCUCGUGGUCCCUGAGUUCAAGCCCCGUGUCAGGCUCUGCACUAACAGCUCAGAGCAUGGAGCUGGCUUUGGAUUCUGUGUCUCCCUCUCCUUCUACCCCUCCCUUGCUUGCACUGUCUCUCUCGAAAAUAAAUAAACAUUAAAAAACAAGUAAGUAUAAGGCAGAGUGAAGAGCCAUAAUAGAAGUAUAAGCAACAUACUGUGGGUGCACAGAGGAAGGAACAAUGAAUUUAGACUGAAGAAUGGCUGUAGGAGGGAUGGUAUGGUAUUUUAUUUAUUUUAUUUUUUUAUUUUAUUUUAUUUUAUUUUAUUUAUUUUAUUAUUUUAUUAUUUUAUUUUAUUAUUUUAUUUUAUUUAUUUUAUUUUAUUUUUUAAUUUAUUUUAUUUUAUUUUUAUUUUAUUUCUAUAAUUUAUUUUUUAUAAUUUGCAUCCAAGUUAGCAUAUGGAGGAGGGAUGGUAUUUUAAAGAAGGUAGUGUUUGAGUGGGGCCUGGAAGAAUGAAUAACCCAUCCUGGGAAAAGCAAGGAAAGAUAAUCUGGCUGUCAGGUUUUUUUUGGCUGCUGAAGGGGUGGCACUAGAAUGUCUUGGCUAAAGUAGAUGAACUUAAAUACAGGUAUAGGAAAUUCAGUAUGAACAGCUGCAUGACUUAUCUGAUUUAACCUUCCUUAAUUAGAAUUACAAGAGCUAACUUGGUUUUGCUACAUUCAGGCCUUAGGUGACUGUGUGGUAGUUUGAAGUUUAAGAAUUAGAUUUUUUAAUUAAGUAGUUUAUCUCAAAGACUCAGAUUUUUAGAUAUGGAACUUGAAGGAUUAUCUGGGCAAACCCAUUCUACUAGGUAAAGAAACUAAGACCCAGUUAAAUGACUUAUUUAGGGUUACAUGAUAAAGUAUGGGGCUAACACCCAGGGCACCUUACUCGUAGUCUUGGGUAUUAAAAACAUUAUACAGUGUAUCCUUUGUAGUAAGAUGAUUUACCCCAGUAUACACCCAUUUGAAUUUCCUGCUGUAACAUUUUUAAAAUGUGAGAUAUAACAUGCAUACAGUUAAACGCACAAAUGUUAAUUGCACAGCAUGAUGAAUUUUUCAUGUAUAUAGACUCUUGUAAGUACCACCCGAGAUCAAGAUAUGGAGCAUUUCCAGCACUCCAGAAUCUUCCUUCAUGUCUUUUACUAGUCAAUAUCCAUUUCCCAUGCCACGCCCAAGUAAUCACUAUUCUGAUUCUUGUCCUCAGGGAUUACUUUUGCCUAUUCUUGAACUUUGUAUAAAUAGAAUGACUUCUGUCACUCAUCAUUAUGUCUAUGAUAUUCAUCCAUGUUGUGUGUAGCAGUUGUUCAUUUUAUUGCUAUGUAGUAUUCCAUUGAAUGAAUGGAUCAUUAUUCUUCUGUUAAUAGACAUUUGAAUUAUUGCUAGUUUUGACUAUUGUUAAUAAAGCUAUUAUGAAUAUGAUUUUGUAUGUCUUUUGAUGAGUAAAUUGCCUCAUAGGUGUAGAAUUGCUGGGUUGUCAUUUCCCAAAAAAGUUUUACCAUUUUCUAUCCCCACCAGCAAAGGAAGAUAGUUUCAGUGUUCUGCAUUCUUGUCAAAAUUUGGUGUUGUCAAUCUUUUUACUUUUAUCUGUCCUGGUCAGUGUAUAGUGGUUUCUGAUUUACGUUUCCCAGAUGAGUAAUGAUGUUGAGCACCUUUUAAUAUAUUAAGAUAUAUUAAAUAUUUAAUAUUUUAAAUACAUUUUUUAAUAGGGCUGUCUUACAGAUUUGUAGGAAUUCUUUAUAAUUCUGAAUGUAAGUAUUUUGGACAUAUAUAUGGCAAAUAUCUCCUUCCAGUCUGUGGCUAGUCUUUUCAUUCUCUUAAUAGUAUCUUUUAAUAAAUAAAAAUUCUUAGUAUUAAUGAAGUUUCAUUUAUUAAAUGAGUAAUUUACUCAUUUAAUUAACGUUACUCACGUUAAUUUACUAUAAGUAAAUUAAAUUUUAUGUGUAGUAGGUUACUUACUUACUAUAAGAUCAUGAACAUAUUCUCCAAAAUUUUCUUCUAGAAGCUUUAUUGCUUUCCCCUGUACUUGAACUUUUUUGGUGCAUUUCAGAUUAAUUUGUAUGAAUGAGGCAAGGUAGAAAUCAGUAGCUUUUUUUUUUUUUUUUUAACAGCCUAUGGAUAUCCAUUUGCUCCUACUCGAUUGUAGGGUACCUUUGAUAUAAAUCAGAUGGCUCUGUUUCUAGAGUGUAUAUUGUGUUCCACUGGUCUGUUUGUGUAUCCUCACACCAGUAUUAUCCUGUCUUAGUUACUAGGAAUUUAUACUGAGUCUUGAUACCUGGUGGUAUAGGUUUUCCAAUUUUUUUUCUCCUUCAGUGUUUUUCCUUUUGAGGGGAGCUAUACUUCAUAUACUAAUACUAAAUACAUAUGCAUCUAGAAUCAUUACAAUACAAAAAUCGAUUGGUAUUACAUUUGGGAUUGCAUUGAAGCUGUACAUCGAUUUGGACAGAAUUGGCAUCUUUAACAGUAUAGAAUCUUCCAUUCUAUAAACCUGUAGACAUGGAUAUCUAUCUGUUUACUUGGAUAAUUUUUAAAAAAAUGUUUAUUUAUUUUGGAGAGAGAGAGCAUGAGCUGGGGAGGGGCAGAGAGAGAGGGAGACACAGAAUCCAAAGAAGGCUCCAGGCUCUGAGCUGUCAGCACAGAGCCCAACGCAGGACUCAAACUCACGAAGUGUGAGAUCAUGACCUGAGCCGAAGUUGGACACUUAACUGACUGAGCCACCCAGGUGACCCUCUAUUUACUUGGAUCUUUAAGUUCUCUCAGCAGUGUUUUAUGAUAUUCAGAUAAUUCUAUUUUAUUUUUUUAAUCUAUUUUUUUUUUUUUUUGAGAGAGAGCGCGAGAGAGUGUGAGAGGGGUAGGGGCAGAGAGAGAAGGAGACACAGAAUCCAAAGCAGGCACCAGUCUCCAAGCUGUCAGCCCAGAACUCAAUGUGGGGCUUGAACUCAAGAAUCAUGAGAUCAUGACCUGAGCCGAACUUAACCGACUGAGCCAUCCAGGUACCCCUUUGGUAUUCAGUUUAGAUGUCUCAUACAUCUUUGGUUUAUGGCUAGAUAUUUGAUGUUUCAAAGAUGCUGUUGUAAAUGAUAUAGUUUAUUUAAAUUUCAUUUUCCAAUUGUUUCAUAUUAAUACAUAGAAAUACCACUGAUUUCUGUAUUUUCAUCUGUAAA